Molecule: long non-coding RNA, 680 nt
Organism: Drosophila sechellia
Lineage: Eukaryota; Metazoa; Arthropoda; Insecta; Diptera; Drosophilidae
Exons: 3
Source: RefSeq, a predicted model, not a curated record
UGGAGCUGUCCACUAGCAUCUGCUACUUUGUCUGUCCGGUUAGGAAGGAAUUCUUUGAAGAUACACCCUGAGGAAAAUUAUGCAAUUUGGGGACAGAUUUUGAAGCUUUUAAAUGUGGUGUCAGCUCCGCGCUAGUGAUCCUAAUUAGUGCAAUGGCAUCAGGAGGUGGAGACGGCGUCUUAGGAUUAUUAAUUUUUAGUGUUUAUAGUCGCGAAAAGUGGCGAUUUCAUUAUGUUUUUGCGAAGCCCGCCUCCUCUUGUCGGUUGCGUUAGAUGUGGAUCAGCAGUUGGCUGUGGUCAAGUAGGUUUUAGCGUCAGUUCUUGUAGGCGCUCGUCAGUCUGAGUUUUGAGAGAGUUUGGAGGCAGACAGAAGUGCGCUUUUUCAUCAGAUAAAGAUGUCGUUUUAAUAGAUAUAAGUAUUUGUAAUUUAAUUGGAUGUAUCCAUGUCAAGAUUGUUGUCUCUUCCUUGAGUAAUUAAUGCCAAUAAAAUGUCGAUUUUCUUUUCUAAAUUGUCGACUCUAUUUGCUAAGUUUCUUGUGGGAUCGUCCGAUAAUCCUUUUUGUAGGAAAUGAUUGGAGUUUCUUGGCGAUGGUGUGGCUACAUCAAUAACUCUUGGUUUAAAACUAGCUCUGGCAGCUCUGCUGGUGGUCGGAGGGCUGUCAUUGCUAGCUAGGCUGGGGU